CCUACGGGAGGCAGCAGUGAGGAAUAUUGGUCAAUGGCCGGAAGGCUGAACCAGCCAUGCCGCGUGAAGGUCAGUGCCCUAUGGGCGUUAAACUUCUUUUGUGCGGGAGCAAUAAUGGUCACGUGUGGCCAGACGAGAGUACAGUACGAAUAAGCAUCGGCUAACUACGGGCCAGCAGCCGCGGGAAUACGGGGGAUGCAAGCUUUAUCCGGAUUUGUUGGGUUUAAAGGGUGCGUAGGCGGGAUGCCAAGUCAGCGGUAAAAAUGGGGUGGUCAACGCCGUCGAGCCGUUGAAACUUGCGUUCUAGAUUUGGAGAGAAGUAUGCGGAAUUCGUGGUGUAGCGGUGAAAUGCAUAGAUAUCACGAAGAACUCCGAUUGCGAAGGCAGCAUACCGGCUCCAUACUGACGCUGAGGCACGAAAGCGUGGGGAUCGAACAGGAUUAGAUACCCCAGUAGUC
Molecule: ribosomal RNA, 458 nt
Filed under: uncultured bacterium
Lineage: Bacteria
Description: partial 16S ribosomal RNA
Rfam family: Bacterial small subunit ribosomal RNA
Source: RNAcentral